RNAcentral lists this long non-coding RNA (1630 nucleotides) under Marmota monax (woodchuck). The record is from RNAcentral. Lineage: Eukaryota; Metazoa; Chordata; Mammalia; Rodentia; Sciuridae.
CCUGCAUCAACCAACAUCUGUCUCUUCUUCCAAGACAAGGCUUUGGAGAGGCACUGAAUUCCAGAACCACAUCUCAAGCGAAUCCUCACUCUUGCUUCUCCUGUGGACAGCACUUGACAGUUUGAACACAUUCAAAGGCCUUUUAAGAAUGUUAUGAUCUACAUGUCACUCCCAGCAUGUCACCAAAGCCCUGAGGCAGGAUUGGGUCUGGAACCUGAAUAUUGAGAGCCUCUUGCACAUCGUAGAGGCUCCCCCAUCCCUGGCAGUUUUGUAGGUCUGUGACACUCCCUAAAAAGUCCCAUGACUCUUUUGCUCUGUUUCCCUCCCUUCAAUCCUUAGGAUCCCAUUCAUCCAUGGUGCUAAGCCCUGUUCAAAUGGGUCUCCCAUCUCCCCAAGGCUUCCCUCAGAUCACAGGACCCUGAGGCCUCUGUGGCUGCUUGAGAUGACCUAACCUGCCCAGGUGGCCCUGCCUUUCUGGGGGCAAGGCUCUCAAAAGGGACUAGCCAUGUCCGUUGUUUCUUUGAUCUGGAGGGAGGACAUAUCACUAAGUUUUGGUAUCUAAUCCUCAGCUCACCUGGGAAGGACACUCAGGCCCUGCCAAUGAGACCAGAGGCAGGACCCACUAUACAAUUUGCAGGGCCCAUCACAAAAUGCAAACAUGGGUCUCCUUGUUCAAAAAUGAAGAAUUACAGUGACAUCAGAAUAUUACGCCAAGUGCCAGACCUUUCUGUUUCUGAGCAUAGGCCUAAUGCAGUUGCAGAGGCUGCAUGUCCAUGACUGGAAAAGACAGACCUGCCUUUAGGGGCUUCUAGGGUUUUUUUCCAGGGAGUGAGACAGGAUGGGUGAAAGAAGUCUUUCCACAAGGGCCAUCUAUAAGACCUCUCGGACACAAAACCUUUUUCAUACUCCUCAUCUCCCAGGGUCUUCAGCAGGCCUGUGAGAUGAGCCAAGAGGUGUUACGACUCCAUCUGAUCUCUGAGGAAACCAAGGCCCAGAAAGGUGAUGUCUUGCCCAAGGCCUUUUGAGGACCUGACCAUUGCGGCAGACAGGCAGGGUGUGGGGCUAAGACAGGCUGAGGGGACUUUUGUUGUGCCAGCUACAAUCUUCCCAGAAGCCUCUGGGGCUCCAUAGCUAAGCCUACAUUGCCUCCACCCCCACCCAGGCCUGCUCAAGUCCAGCUCUAUCCGGCCCACAGCAUGGAGUCCGCAGGCCAAGAUGGGGCGGCCAAGGUAAACAGAGAGGUUUCCUUACCUCGCAGCUGCUCACCCAGGAGGGAAUUCCAGGGCAAGCCCUGGCACACUCCUCUCUGGCAGCUGCCAAAAUGCCCGUGGGUUCCUCUGCCCCUCCAGAGACCAGGACUUCAUGCUCCCCAGGCCCCCCAUCCUCCACCCCUCACAGUGGAGGGAGAGACCAUGUUGGAGCUGUGUUAGGAGAAAUGGGGGAGAAACUCAGACACAGGGAAGAGAAAGGAAGACACGUGUCCAUGAAGACCUGGCUUGGGUGUCUGUCACAUCUUUUCUCAUUAUAGGGCCCAAAAGUUCACCUGUGAUAUGUCCAUACAACAGAGUACUCCUCAGCAACAAAAGGAAACAAAUUACUGAUAGAUUUAACAACAGGAAGGAAACUUAAA